GGCAGUGUGGCCGAGUGGUCUAAGGCGUAUGACUCGAAAUCAUAUAUCUUCGGAUGCGUGUGUUCAAAUCACACCGCUGUCG
This is a non-coding RNA of Aspergillus ellipticus CBS 707.79, 82 nucleotides long. NCBI's taxonomy places the organism in Eukaryota, Fungi, Ascomycota, Eurotiomycetes, Eurotiales, Aspergillaceae. The record is from the annotation of a GenBank genome assembly.